Molecule: transfer RNA, 73 nt
Filed under: Candidatus Vidania fulgoroideorum
Lineage: Bacteria; Pseudomonadati; Pseudomonadota; Betaproteobacteria
Description: Candidatus Vidania fulgoroideae tRNA-Asn
Rfam family: tRNA
About the family: Transfer RNA (tRNA) molecules are approximately 80 nucleotides in length. Their secondary structure includes four short double-helical elements and three loops (D, anti-codon, and T loops). Further hydrogen bonds mediate the characteristic L-shaped molecular structure. tRNAs have two regions of fundamental functional importance: the anti-codon, which is responsible for specific mRNA codon recognition, and the 3' end, to which the tRNAs corresponding amino acid is attached (by aminoacyl-tRNA synthetases). tRNAs cope with the degeneracy of the genetic code in two manners: having more than one tRNA (with a specific anti-codon) for a particular amino acid; and 'wobble' base-pairing, i.e. permitting non-standard base-pairing at the 3rd anti-codon position.
Source: RNAcentral
UCCUUUAUAGCUCAGUUGGUAGAGCAGUGGAUUGUUAAUCCUCGCGUCCUUGGUUCAAGUCCAAGUUAAGGAG